RNAcentral lists this transfer RNA (87 nucleotides) under Gemmatimonadota bacterium. Its description in RNAcentral is "tRNA-Ser". It matches the Rfam family "tRNA". From Rfam's summary of the family: Transfer RNA (tRNA) molecules are approximately 80 nucleotides in length. Their secondary structure includes four short double-helical elements and three loops (D, anti-codon, and T loops). The record is from RNAcentral. Lineage: Bacteria; Pseudomonadati; Gemmatimonadota.
GGACAGGUGGCCGAGUGGUUGAAGGCACCACCCUGGAAAGGUGGCAUACCGGCAACGGUAUCGAGGGUUCGAAUCCCUCCCUGUCCG